Molecule: ribosomal RNA, 156 nt
Filed under: uncultured Enterobacteriaceae bacterium
Lineage: Bacteria; Pseudomonadati; Pseudomonadota; Gammaproteobacteria; Enterobacterales; Enterobacteriaceae
Description: partial 16S ribosomal RNA
Rfam family: Bacterial small subunit ribosomal RNA
Source: RNAcentral
CGAGCCUGAUGCAGCCAUGCCGCGUGUGUGAAGAAGGCCUUCGGGUUGUAAAGCACUUUCAGCGGGGAGGAAGGCGAUACGGUUAAUAACCUUGUUGAUUGACGUUACCCGCAGAAGAAGCACCGGCUAACUCCGUGCCAGCAGCCGCGGUAAUAA